This 497-nucleotide ribosomal RNA is filed under the name uncultured bacterium. RNAcentral describes it as "partial 16S ribosomal RNA". It matches the Rfam family "Bacterial small subunit ribosomal RNA", at positions 28 to 507 of the family's 1533-position model. The record is from RNAcentral.
GAUGAACGCUGGCGGCGUGCCUAAUACAUGCAAGUCGAGCGAACAGACGAGGAGCUUGCUCCUCUGACGUUAGCGGCGGACGGGUGAGUAACACGUGGAUAACCUACCUAUAAGACUGGGAUAACUUCGGGAAACCGGAGCUAAUACCGGAUAAUAUAUUGAACCGCAUGGUUCAAUAGUGAAAGACGGUUUUGCUGUCACUUAUAGAUGGAUCCGCGCCGCAUUAGCUAGUUGGUAAGGUAACAGCUUACCAAGGCAACGAUGCGUAGCCGACCUGAGAGGGUGAUCGGCCACACUGGAACUGAGACACGGUCCAGACUCCUACGGGAGGCAGCAGUAGGGAAUCUUCCGCAAUGGGCGAAAGCUUGACGGAGCAACGCCGCGUGAGUGAUGAAGGUCUUCGGAUCGUAAAACUCUGUUAUUAGGGAAGAACAAAUGUGUAAGUAACUAUGCACGUCUUGACGGUACCAAAUCAGAAAGCCACGGCUAACUACGUG